UUGUUACCUUCUUGAGACCUGAGAAAAAGGCCUACCUCUUUAGGACCACCCUUUUAAAAAAGCUUUCAGUUACUUUUUAUUUUUAUUUUUUGUUUGUAAUUGGUUUUUAAUCUUCAUUAUUUACUAUGUUAUUACAGUAUGUCUCUAUAUACGUAUUUAUUUUAUUAUUUUUUUAUAUACAUUUUUGCCAAAAAGGGUGCAUUUCAAUUUCUUACACACACUUGUUAUUUCAAAUGUUGACCAGAGGGGGAGCACUUUUAAAACCGACACACAGUCCAUUUGAAAAAUCCUUCCUUUUUUUUUUUUUUUUUAUAGAUUUCACCCAUAGGAGUGCAAAUGAGACAUUCUCUAUUAGAUGCUUGUUCACACCUCCUCAUAUGGAAGGUACUUGUCCUUGUUAAUGUCUCAAGAAGGGUAGAAAUACAAGAACACACGUAUUUGUUACCUUCUUGAGAUCUGAGAAAAAUGCCUACCUCUUUAGGACCACAAUUUCUAGAUAUAUAAAUAUUUAUAUGUACAACUUUAAUAAUAGAUACAAACUAUGCAAAUAUAAAAAAGAUAAGCUUUUAGUUAUUUUUUUUAUUUUUUGUUUGUAAUUGGUUUUAAGUCUUCAUUAUUUACUUCGUUAUUACAAAUGUCUCUAAAUACUUAUUUAUUUGAUUUUUUAAAAUUAAUUUUGGCCAAAGGGAGUGCAUUUCAAUUUCUUACACACACUUGUUAUUUCAAAUGUUGACCAGAGGGGGAGCACUUUUAAAACCGACACAGUCAAUUUGAAAAAUCCUUCCUUUUUGGAACUGUCCUAAUUUUGAUAGAUGUUGCCACCAGGGGUGGAAAUGAGACAUUCUCUAUUAGAUGCAAUGAUUUUCCGUAUCGGGACCAUGAUUUAUGUCCAUAUGGAAGCUACUUUUCCUUGUGGAUGUCUCAAGAAGGUUAGAAAUACAAGAACACACACAGCAUGUGUACACAAAUGAAUAGACUACAGCAAGUACACACGCUGUUUCCUUAAUCAAGUACAAUUGUUGUGUUUUAUGUUAUCACUGCUCCGCUUCUUUUUACACUUAAAUGACAGUUAAAAUUGGCAGCAGUUUGACCCUGGAACAGAUUAUUUUGGUUCCCACGGCUUCCUUUGAGAAGAACUGUACGCACAGCUAGAGGCUCAACUGGCACUCACGCACUCUUAUCUUUUACUCUCAUUCUAUUUUUAACGUCUUCUCUCUCUCUCCCUCUCUCUCUCUCUUUCUCAUUUUGCUGUCUGUCACUCUUUUGCUCCCGUUUGUCACUUGCUCUUUUGUGUGCUUUCCUCAGUCUCAUCCUUUUUUCCUCCUCUCUCCUUUCCUCUCGCUCGUUUUUCUCUUUCUCUCUGUCUCUCACUUGCUAUUUUCAUUUCACGGCCCAAAGUGUCACUCUUCAUUAGCCCCGCCCCCUUUGUUGCCAGGCAGUUUUAUUCAGAUAACAUGGCUUCAGCAUCUUCAAUGUACAACACACACUUUGACAAACACAUCAUUUUGUUUACGUCGGCAGUCGUCUCGCCAUGAUUUGUCUCUUGUGGCUUGAUGUGUUUGCCGGGGGUCACGACCUCUCCCUGCCUGCGGCACCUCCAUGCUUUUAUUGCCUCCACGUGACCUCCAACUGGGGCGUCGCCUCAGCCGUCACAGAGGAAGACGAGCAUGCGGAUGUGUUGCCGAUGUGGAGUGCAGAGGAAGGGGAUGCACGUCACCAGCGCAGAAGGCAGGACAUAAACGGCCCAGUUCGGCGUGGCUGAAAGGAAGAGAUGGAGACGACAGCUAAAGGGACACACAGAAAAGUUAAAAUGGCACAAAGGAAAGACAAAAAAUGCGAAAUGUACACAAAAGGACGAAAGAGAGACAAGGAAAAGCUAAAUGGAAACAAAAAAGCAAAGGAGAAACAAACGCAAAGAAAAGCUAAAGAAACAAAUAAUAAGCUAAAGGGACACAAAUAAAUGCGAAAGGGACACAGAAAAGCUAAAGAAACACAAAGAAAAGCUAAAAUGACCGAAUGAAGACAGAAAGGGACGGAAAGAAAAACUGAAGGGACAAAAAGAAAAGCUGAAGGGACACAAAAAAACUGGAAGAAAAUGUACAAGAACAAAAGCCAAAGGGACGGAAAGAAAAGCUGAAGAGACACAAAGAAACACAAAGAAAAGCUAAAGGGACAGAAAGAAAAGCAGAAGGGACACGAAUAAAAGCUAAAGGGACAGAAAUAAAAGCUAAAGGGAAGCAAAGAAACAAAGAAAAGCUGAAGGGACAGAAAGAAAAGCUAAAAAAAACACAUACAAAAGCUGAAGGGACACAAAGAAAAGCUAAAAAAAACACAAAGAAAAGCUAAAGGGACUCAAGGAAAAGCCAAAGGGACACAAAGAAAAGCCAAAAAAAAAAACACAAAGAAAAGCUAAAGGGACAGAAAGAAAUCCUGAAGGGACACAAAUAAGCACCAAACAUAAAGAAAAUCUAAAAGGAAACAAAAACAAAGCUAAAGGGACACAAAUAAAUGCGAAAGGGACACAGAGAAGCUAAAGAAACACAAAGAAAAGCUAAAAUGACCGAAUGAGGACAGAAAGGGACGGAAAGAAAAACUGAAGGGACAAAAAGAAAAGCUGAAGGGACACAAAAAAACAGGAAGAAAAUGUACAAGAACAAAAGCCAAAGGGACGGAAAGAAAAGCUGAAGAGACACAAAGAAACACAAUGAAAAGCUAAAGGGACAGAAAGAAAAGCUGAAGGGACACAAAUAAAAGCUAAAGGGACAGAAAUAAAAGCUAAAGGGAAGCAAAGAAACAAAGAAAAGCUGAAGGGACAGAAAGAAAAGCUAAAAAAACACAUACAAAAGCUGAAGGGACACAAAGAAAAGCUAAAAAAAAACACAAAGAAAAGCUAAAGGGACUCAAGGAAAAGCCAAAGGGACACAAAGAAAAGCCAAAAAAAAAAAACACAAAGAAAAGCUAAAGGGACAGAAAGAAAUCCUGAAGGGACACAAAUAAGCACCAAACAUAAAGAAAAUCUAAAAGGAAACAAAAACAAAGCUAAAGGGACAAAAAUAAACAGCAAACAUAAAGACAAUCUAAAGGGACACAAAAAAGCUAAAGGGACACAAAAAACACCAAACAUAAAAGAAAAUCUAAAGUGACACAAAGAAAAGCUUGAAGGGACAUAAAAGCUAAAGAGACACAAAGGAAAGCCAAAAACCCCACAAAUAAAAGCUAAAGGGACAGAAAGAAAACCCGAAGUGACACAAAUAAACACCAAAGAUAAAGAAAAGCUAAAUGGAAACAAAAAAGCAAAGGAGAAACAAACGCAAAGAAAAGCUAAAGAAACAAAUAAUAAGCUAAAGGGACACAAAUAAAUGCGAAAGGGACACAGAGAAGCUAAAGAAACACAAAGAAAAGCUAAAAUGACCGAAUGAGGACAGAAAGGGACGGAAAGAAAAACUGAAGGGACAAAAAGAAAAGCUGAAGGGACACAAAAAAACAGGAAGAAAAUCUAAAGGGACAGAAAGAAAAGCUGAAGGGACACAAAUAAAAGCUAAAGGGACAGAAAUAAAAGCUAAAGGGAAGCAAAGAAACAAAGAAAAGCUGAAGGGACAGAAAGAAAAGCUAAAAAAACACAUACAAAAGCUGAAGGGACACAAAGAAAAGCUAAAAAAAAACACAAAGAAAAGCUAAAGGGACUCAAGGAAAAGCCAAAGGGACACAAAGAAAAGCCAAAAAAAAAACACAAAGAAAAGCUAAAGGGACAGAAAUAAAUCCUGAAGGGACACAAAUAAGCACCAAACAUAAAGAAAAUCUAAAAGGAAACAAAAACAAAGCUAAAGGGACAAAAAUAAACAGCAAACAUAAAGACAA
Long non-coding RNA from Nerophis ophidion (straightnose pipefish), 3858 nucleotides. RefSeq lists it as uncharacterized. The record is from RefSeq and is a predicted model, not a curated record. The transcript is spliced from 2 exons. Lineage: Eukaryota; Metazoa; Chordata; Actinopteri; Syngnathiformes; Syngnathidae.